Molecule: ribosomal RNA, 253 nt
Filed under: uncultured bacterium
Lineage: Bacteria
Description: partial 16S ribosomal RNA
Rfam family: Bacterial small subunit ribosomal RNA
Source: RNAcentral
UACGGAGGGUGCAAGCGUUGUUCGGAAUCAUUGGGCGUAAAGCGCGCGCAGGCGGGCCAUUAAGUCUGAUGUGAAAUCCCUCGGCUCAACCGGGGAAUUGCAUUGGAUACUGGUGGUCUUGAGUCCCGGAGAGGAAGGCGGAAUUCCCAGUGUAGAGGUGAAAUUCGUAGAUAUUGGGAGGAACACCAGCGGCGAAGGCGGCCUUCUGGACGGUGACUGACGCUGAGGCGCGAAAGCAUGGGUAGCAAACAGG